UCUAGAAUAAUAGGCUUCGAACCUAAUCUUAAGAAUUCAAAGAUCUUCGUGCUACCAAACUUACACUAUAUUCUA
Molecule: transfer RNA, 75 nt
Filed under: Canis lupus (wolf)
Lineage: Eukaryota; Metazoa; Chordata; Mammalia; Carnivora; Canidae
Also listed under: 1 other name
Description: tRNA-Gln
Source: RNAcentral